This is a small nuclear RNA of Sphaerodactylus townsendi, 156 nucleotides long. RefSeq annotates it as U1 spliceosomal RNA. Lineage: Eukaryota; Metazoa; Chordata; Lepidosauria; Squamata; Sphaerodactylidae. The transcript has a single exon. The record is from RefSeq and is a predicted model, not a curated record.
GUCCUUACCUGGCAGUGGAGAGACCAUGGUCACAAAGGUGGUCACGAAGGGUGAGGCUUAUCCAUUGCACUCCAGGUGUGUUGACCCCUGUGAUUUCCCUAAAUGUAGGAAACUUGACUGCAUAAUUUGUGGUAGUAGGAGAAAAUUGAGAGCCAG